RNAcentral lists this ribosomal RNA (1581 nucleotides) under Arthrobacter sp. P27-1. Its description in RNAcentral is "partial 16S ribosomal RNA". It matches the Rfam family "Bacterial small subunit ribosomal RNA". The record is from RNAcentral. Lineage: Bacteria; Bacillati; Actinomycetota; Actinomycetes; Micrococcales; Micrococcaceae.
AGAGUUUGAUCCUGGCUCAGAUUGAACGCUGGCGGCAGGCCUAACACAUGCAAGUCGAGCGGUAACACAAGGGAGCUUGCUCCUGAGGUGACGAGCGGCGGACGGGUGAGUAAUGCCUAGGGAUCUGCCCAGUCGAGGGGGAUAACAGUUGGAAACGACUGCUAAUACCGCAUACGCCCUACGGGGGAAAGGAGGGGACCUUCGGGCCUUCCGCGAUUGGAUGGCCUGGGAAACCGGGUCUAAUACUGGAUACGACCUUCUGGCGCAUGCCAUGUUGGUGGAAAGCUUUUGUGGUUUUGGAUGGACUCGCGGCCUAUCAGCUUGUUGGUGGGGUAAUGGCCUACCAAGGCGACGACGGGUAGCCGGCCUGAGAGGGUGACCGGCCACACUGGGACUGAGACACGGCCCAGACUCCUACGGGAGGCAGCAGUGGGGAAUAUUGCACAAUGGGCGCAAGCCUGAUGCAGCGACGCCGCGUGAGGGAUGAAGGCCUUCGGGUUGUAAACCUCUUUCAGUAGGGAAGAAGCCGGCCUUUCGGGGUUGGUGACGGUACCUGCAGAAGAAGCGCCGGCUAACUACGUGCCAGCAGCCGCGGUAAUACGUAGGGCGCAAGCGUUAUCCGGAAUUAUUGGGCGUAAAGAGCUCGUAGGCGGUUUGUCGCGUCUGCCGUGAAAGUCCGGGGCUUAACUCCGGAUCUGCGGUGGGUACGGGCAGACUAGAGUGCAGUAGGGGAGACUGGAAUUCCUGGUGUAGCGGUGAAAUGCGCAGAUAUCAGGAGGAACACCGAUGGCGAAGGCAGGUCUCUGGGCUGUAACUGACGCUGAGAGCGAAAGCAUGGGGAGCGAACAGGAUUAGAUACCCUGGUAGUCCAUGCCGUAAACGUUGGCACUAGGUGUGGGGGACAUUCCACGUUUUCCGCGCCGUAGCUAACGCAUUAAGUGCCCCGCCUGGGGAGUACGGCCGCAAGGCUAAAACUCAAAGGAAUUGACGGGGCCCGCACAAGCGGCGGAGCAUGCGGAUUAAUUCGAUGCAACGCGAAGAACCUUACCAAGGCUUGACAUGAACCGGAAUGAUGCAGAGAUGUGUCAGCCACUUGUGGCCGGUUUACAGGUGGUGCAUGGUUGUCGUCAGCUCGUGUCGUGAGAUGUUGGGUUAAGUCCCGCAACGAGCGCAACCCUCGUUCCAUGUUGCCAGCGGGUUAUGCCGGGGACUCAUGGGAGACUGCCGGGGUCAACUCGGAGGAAGGUGGGGACGACGUCAAAUCAUCAUGCCCCUUAUGUCUUGGGCUUCACGCAUGCUACAAUGGCCGGUACAAAGGGUUGCGAUACUGUGAGGUGGAGCUAAUCCCAAAAAGCCGGUCUCAGUUCGGAUUGAGGUCUGCAACUCGACCUCAUGAAGUUGGAGUCGCUAGUAAUCGCAGAUCAGCAACGCUGCGGUGAAUACGUUCCCGGGCCUUGUACACACCGCCCGUCAAGUCACGAAAGUUGGUAACACCCGAAGCCGGUGGCCUAACCCCUUGUGGGAGGGAGCCGUCGAAGGUGGGACCGGCGAUUGGGACUAAGUCCUAACAAGGUAACCAAU